UGAGUAACCUGCCUUCAGCUUUGGGAUAACCCUCGGAAACGGGGGCUAAUACCGGGUAUUCAGCUUCUGCGGCAUCGUGGGGGUUGGAAAGUUUUUCGGCUGGGGAUGGGCUCGCGGCCUAUCAGCUUGUUGGUGGGGUAAUGGCCUACCAAGGCGGCGACGGGUAGCCGGCCUGAGAGGGCGACCGGCCACACUGGGACUGAGACACGGCCCAGACUCCUACGGGAGGCA
Molecule: ribosomal RNA, 231 nt
Filed under: uncultured bacterium
Lineage: Bacteria
Description: partial 16S ribosomal RNA
Rfam family: Bacterial small subunit ribosomal RNA
Source: RNAcentral